AACCGAUUGAACCGAAGUGACUCGAUUUGAUUCGAUUUUUCGGUUUGAACCGAAUUCUGCUCAGCCCUAGCCUUGGACUUGCGCCGCAUCAGAAGAUAGAAGAAGACUUCCUGGUGGUGAUGAAAGGCAACGAGGAACAGUUAUGGGUGGAUGGAUGUAACAGGGGACAAUCAAUACUGAUGAGACUGGGCUGUAGAAGCAAAAAUAGUUGAAGUAAAACUAACCAAGACAGAGGGAUGAAAGAUCCCAAAUGAAGGAAGAGUACAAGGGAGAACCCAAAUGAAACAGAGAUAGGAAACAGUCUCAGAGAGAAGGGCUUUCCCCCGGAAGAUGUAGUUAAGAGAAUAAUGAAGAGUUGUUAUGCCAACCGUUGGUUAUCUCAUAUCUCAUAUACGUAUGUGUGUGUCUUUAGCUUUGUUAAUUACAUUAGUCUUAGAUGAUGAAAUAAAAGAAAGUGUCUUCCUUUAUACA
Molecule: long non-coding RNA, 471 nt
Organism: Hevea brasiliensis (rubber tree)
Lineage: Eukaryota; Viridiplantae; Streptophyta; Magnoliopsida; Malpighiales; Euphorbiaceae
Exons: 2
Source: RefSeq, a predicted model, not a curated record